GCUUCUUGAUAUCCUUAGUUCUUCAUGUGGCAUUUCUACAGAUUUCUAAGCAGCGGGUAUAGGCUGUUGACGCCCUUGGUCUUCUUCUUGACAAGCCGUACAGAUCUACGGGUCUCCAAAUUGCCAUCUGUUGGUGGUGCGUCCUUUUCCACUUGAAUUUGUGUCUCUUUUUCCACUUGCAUUUGCGCCUCUUGCUGAUCAUGCAUGGAUGGAGCAUCUUCCCCAUCCUCACUCACCCCAUCAUUAUCCUCACUCUCACUAUCAACAAAUACUUUCUCUUCAAAAUCAAUGACAAAAGAACAGCGGUCAGUUAUGAAGAGUAGGUCACUAGGGAAGCAACCCUUGCUUACUUGGGUGUCCUCAUAUGAAUGAUAAACAAAACCAGUACAGCUUAAUGCUCUAGUUUAGAUACUAAGGAAUAAGUAAUUUAAAUACAACCCGAUGCUCUAGUUUGCCAAAAAGACAAGUCAAAAACUAUAAUCUAUUCUUGAGAAAGAUACUGCGAAGCUUAGUUCUAGAACCAUCACUUAAUGGUACCGCUGAACAUUGAAAUUAACCAUCG
RNAcentral lists this ribosomal RNA (562 nucleotides) under Triticum aestivum (bread wheat). Its description in RNAcentral is "partial small subunit ribosomal RNA". The record is from RNAcentral. Lineage: Eukaryota; Viridiplantae; Streptophyta; Magnoliopsida; Poales; Poaceae.